This 253-nucleotide ribosomal RNA is filed under the name uncultured bacterium. RNAcentral's name for it is "partial 16S ribosomal RNA". It matches the Rfam family "Bacterial small subunit ribosomal RNA", at positions 524 to 776 of the family's 1533-position model. The record is from RNAcentral.
UACGUAGGGUGCGAGCGUUAAUCGGAAUUACUGGGCGUAAAGCGUGCGUAGGCGGUUCGUUAAGUUCGUCGUGAAAGCCCCGGGCUCAACCUGGGAAUGGCGAUGGAAACUGGCGGGCUGGAGUAUGGCAGAGGGGGGUGGAAUUCCGCGUGUAGCAGUGAAAUGCGUAGAGAUCGGGAGGAACACCUGUGGCGAAGGCGGCCCCCUGGGCCGGCCCUGACACUGAGACGCGAAGGCGUGGGGAGCGAACGGG